RNAcentral lists this ribosomal RNA (520 nucleotides) under uncultured Glomus. Its description in RNAcentral is "SSU rRNA". It matches the Rfam family "Eukaryotic small subunit ribosomal RNA", at positions 569 to 1090 of the family's 1831-position model. The record is from RNAcentral. Lineage: Eukaryota; Fungi; Glomeromycota; Glomeromycetes; Glomerales; Glomeraceae.
AGCAGCCGCGGUAAUUCCAGCUCCAAUAGCGUAUAUUAAAGUUGUUGCAGUUAAAAGCUCGUAGUUGAAUUUCGGGAUCAAUUAAUCGGUCGUGCCUCUGGUACGCACUGGUUUUAUUGGUUUCUCCCUUCUGACGAACCAGGAUGUCAUUAAUUUGGUGUCUUGGAGAAUCAGGACUGUUACUUUGAAAAAUUAGAGUGUUUAAAGCAGGCUUCUAGGCAUGAAUACAUUAGCAUGGAAUAAUGAAAUAGGACGUUUGAUCCUAUUUUGUUGGUUUCUAGGAUCGACGUAAUGAUUAAUAGGGAUAGUUGGGGGCAUUAGUAUUCAAUUGUCAGAGGUGAAAUUCUUGGAUUUAUUGAAGACUAACUAUUGCGAAAGCAUUUGCCAAGGAUGUUUUCAUUAAUCAAGAACGAAAGUUAGGGGAUCGAAGACGAUCAGAUACCGUCGUAGUCUUAACCAUAAACUAUGCCGACUAGGGAUCGGAUGAUGUUAAUUUUUUAAUGACUCAUUCGGCGCCUUA